GAAAUGCGAUAAGUAGUGUGAAUUGCAGAAUUCAGUGAAUCAUCGAAUCUUUGAACGCACAUUGCGCCCCUUGGUAUUCCAUGGGGCAUGCCUGUUCGAGCGUCAUUUGUACCCUCAAGCUUUGCUUGGUGUUGGGCGUCUUGUCGGAAUAUCCGACUCGCCUUAAAUACAUUGGCAGCCGGCACUUUGGCCUAGGAGCGCAGCACAUUUUGCGAUCGUAAGCCGUUGUGACAGCAUCCAUAAGAUUUAUUUUACCACGUUUGACCUCGGAUCAGGUAGGGAUACCCGCUGAACUUAAGC
This 300-nucleotide unclassified non-coding RNA is filed under the name plant metagenome. RNAcentral describes it as "partial contains 5.8S ribosomal RNA, internal transcribed spacer 2, and large subunit ribosomal RNA". The stretch from base 1 to 105 matches the Rfam family "5.8S ribosomal RNA", at positions 50 to 154 of the family's 154-position model. The record is from RNAcentral.